UACGGAGGGUGCAAGCGUUGUUCGGAAUUAUUGGGCGUAAAGGGCGCGUAGGCGGUCCAAUAAGUCGGAUGUGAAAGCCCUGGGCUCAACCCAGGAAGGGCAUCCGAAACUGCUGGACUUGAGUACGGGAGAGGGAAGUGGAAUUCCUGGUGUAGGGGUGAAAUCCGUAGAUAUCAGGAGGAACACCGGUGGCGAAGGCGACUUCCUGGACCGAUACUGACGCUGAGGCGCGAAAGCGUGGGGAGCAAAC
RNAcentral lists this ribosomal RNA (250 nucleotides) under uncultured bacterium. RNAcentral's name for it is "partial 16S ribosomal RNA". It matches the Rfam family "Bacterial small subunit ribosomal RNA", at positions 524 to 773 of the family's 1533-position model. The record is from RNAcentral.